RNAcentral lists this ribosomal RNA (447 nucleotides) under uncultured bacterium. Its description in RNAcentral is "bacterial SSU rRNA". It matches the Rfam family "Bacterial small subunit ribosomal RNA", at positions 355 to 825 of the family's 1533-position model. The record is from RNAcentral.
UGGGGAAUCUUGCGCAAUGGGCGAAAGCCUGACGCAGCCAUGCCGCGUGAAUGAUGAAGGUCUUAGGAUUGUAAAAUUCUUUCACCGGGGACGAUAAUGACGGUACCCGGAGAAGAAGCCCCGGCUAACUUCGUGCCAGCAGCCGCGGUAAUACGAAGGGGGCUAGCGUUGCUCGGAAUUACUGGGCGUAAAGGGCGCGUAGGCGGACAUUUAAGUCAGGGGUGAAAUCCCAGAGCUCAACUCUGGAACUGCCUUUGAUACUGGGUGUCUUGAGUGUGAGAGAGGUAUGUGGAACUCCGAGUGUAGAGGUGAAAUUCGUAGAUAUUCGGAAGAACACCAGUGGCGAAGGCGACAUACUGGCUCAUUACUGACGCUGAGGCGCGAAAGCGUGGGGAGCAAACAGGAUUAGAUACCCAGGUAGUCCCUGAGCGGGCUGGCAAGGCGCAU